This 2725-nucleotide long non-coding RNA is filed under the name Sus scrofa (pig). RNAcentral's name for it is "lncRNA (ENSSSCG00000063289.1)". Lineage: Eukaryota; Metazoa; Chordata; Mammalia; Artiodactyla; Suidae. The record is from RNAcentral.
AGUGAUUCCCAAAGUUUUGAAUUUUAUGGGCCAGAAAAAUGUCCAAAAACAGGACUGUCAUAAAGUUGCCAACUUAAUUUUGCUAAGAAUAGUUCACAAAAGAGAAAAACAACUGCCAUCUACUGUCACCAUCAUUUCCUAAAAGAAAGGACAUUUCACAUGUCGGAAAAGAGGGAAUCAAGGAGAAGCCCUUGAACUGAGCACAUUUAUCUUUAAGAAAGAUGCAUGACUUCAGGGAUGCUGUGUCUGGUGGGACACUUGUGCAUGGCGAGGCUGUCUGGGUGAGGGGCAUGCAGGACCUAAAUCCAGUCCUCGCCCUGCCUGCCAAGCCAUGUGCUCUGCAUGGUCUCUGUCCACUCAGAUGAAGGGGCACUUUUUUCUUUACACAAAGGGGCUUCCUGCUUGCCAAGCUGUGUGCUGACAGGGCUGUGUCUGCCCAGAGAGGGCAACCUUUUCUAAUCUGUGCAAAACACUUUUGAGCUGGCAGUGGCCCUGCACUACUUUGUUCCACGGUAAAACAUUUCACUGGGGGCUGUGCUUUAACCAGUGCCUGGCACGUAGUAGGUGCUCAAUAAAUAUGUAUUCAAUGAAUGUUGGAGAGCUGAGAGAAGCUCCAUCAAGGGCCGUUCCCAGGCUGCAGGUUGACAUUUGGGGGCCCGGUGGUCCUCAGCAACACAGCUACAGGCAUCACAUUUCAUGUUCUUUUCUCCUCAUACUCGUGUCUAAAUGGAAGGGAAUGAGGAGCAAGAUCAGGGCAGCCCCUCCUGCUUCUCAGUUCUUGAGAGGACCAGAAAGAAGCCAGCCUUAAAGGAUUGCUUUAAGCCAAUUGGACUUUGUACAGUUACCUCUUCAGCUUGCUUCACAACUCAGGUAACAGAGCCUUUGAAGGGUUAAAGCAUACACUCUAGUUCACUGGGUGGCAGAGUGAGAUUUCAAGGAUUUGGGAGAGAGCGACACUGGGGUACUGUCCUCCAGAAAUCCUGUAUCCCUUGGAAACUGCUCAGUCAUGGUGUUUGUGGUCACUUUUCAGCGACUGGAGUUCCCAUCGUGUGCAGCGGAAAUGAAUCCAACUAGGAACCAUGAGGUUGUGGGUUCGAUCCCUGACCUCGCUCAGUGGGUUAAGGAUCUGGUGUUGCUGUGAGCUGUGGUGUAGGUCAGCAGCUGUAGCUCCAAUUAGACUCCUAGCCUGGGAACCUCCAUAUGCCGUGGAUGGGGCCCUAAAAAACAAACAAACAAACAAAUAGACAAAAAUACCAGGACUCUGAGAGGGUGUACUCACUUCCCGGGGCUGCUGGAACAAAUUGCCAUAAACUUGGGGUCUCAAAACAACAGAAAUGUCUUCUCACAGUUUUAAAGGCCAGAAGGCCAACAUCGGUUUCACCGGACUGAAAUUAAGGUGGAGGCAGGGCUGUACUCUCUCCAGAGGCUGUAGGGGAAAAUCUGUUUCUUCUCUCUGCCAGUGCCGGGAACGACACUCUUCAGCUCAUGGCUUUUUCCUCCACCUUCGAAGCCAUCUGCACAUCCCUCUCGGCUUCCAUCAUCACGUCACCUUCUAUCCUUUAGGCGAGAGUAUGAUCUCUCUCCUCGUCUCUCUUAUAAGGAUACUUGUGACAGCACUCAGGGCUCACAGAGAUCACCCAGGAUGAUCACCUUAUCUCAAAAUCCCCAAUCAUAUCUGCAACAGUUUUAUCAGGUAAGGUAGCAUUCACGGCCCUUAGGGGUUUGGACUUGAUACUGUUGAGUGGCCAUUAUUCAGCCUACUGCAGAGGGUCAGUGACUUGCCCAAGGUCAUGUGCAAAUGUGGGGUUCAAACCCAAGCAAACUCUCUUCUGACCACGCCUAACCACCCCCCAGCUAUCCUGCCGAAGGGCCAGCAGCCCAGACCCGUGUUUCCAUCAGGGGAGGCCACGACUUGAGAUCCAGACAUGGCUAUUCACACGAAGCCAUUAAAUGGCCUUUAGUAUAGUUGGCAGUGACAGGGGAAGGAAGAGAGUUCUUCUUUUUAUAAAAACAAAUUUAACCUGCUCACCCUUCUUGGCAGCUAGGCCAGGUCUCUGCCAUUUUGCAAAGUAAUGAUGAGAAAAUAUUUGUUUGUUUUGCUGUUUGUAACUCAUCAUUGAACCUGGGACCUAUUAAUAAAUUUAAAUUUGUGAUUGAGGGAUAGAGAUGGGGAAGGAAGGAAGGCUCUUAAGGAGGAUUAAUGGUAAAUACCCAGGAACUGUGUUUUCUUCUCGGCCACAUCUCUACUCCUGGCUGAAGUCAGUGGAAGUCUGGUCUCAUGGGGGCCUUAGGGCUGCUGAGUGCAGAGGCUGGACACAGGUGCCUACUGGUCUAGUCACUUCUUGGGCAGUCAGGAAACUCUCUUUUACCAGAUACUUUUCUUGCCUUGCCCUGUACUUGAAAGCCAGAGAACAGAGUGAAAAGAAUGAACAGACAGGGUGCGGUCUGAAUGACAUAAAGAUUCCGGCUUUAGAAGAAGAGAGAACAGGCGUUCCCAUCGUGACUCAGCGGUUAACAAAUCUGACUAGCAUCCAUGAGGAUACAGGUUCGAUCCCUGGCCUCGCUCAGUGGGUUAAGGAUCCGGCAUUGCUGUGAGCUGCAGUAUAGGUCGAAGAGUGGCUUGGAUCCCAAGCUGCUGUGGCUGUGGUGUAGGACGGCAGCUGUGGCUCCAAUUCGACCCUUAGCCUGGGAACCUCCAUAUGCCAAGAGUGCAGCCCUAAAAAAG